AAUAGAUACCCGGGUAGUCCACGCCGUAAACGUUGGGCGCUAGGUGUGGGGCUCAUUCCACGAGUUCCGUGCCGCAGCUAACGCAUUAAGCGCCCCGCCUGGGGAGUACGGCCGCAAGGCUAAAACUCAAAGGAAUUGACGGGGGCCCGCACAAGCGGCGGAGCAUGCGGAUUAAUUCGAUGUAACGCGAAGAACCUUACCAGGGCUUGACAUAUACCGGAAACACCCAGAGAUGGGUGCCCCGCAAGGUCGGUAUACAGGUGGUGCAUGGUUGUCGUCAGCUCGUGUCGUGAGAUGUUGGGUUAAGUCCCGCAACGAGCGCAACCCUCGUUCUAUGUUGCCAGCACGUUAUGGUGGGGACUCAUAGAAGACUGCCGGGGUCAACUCGGAGGAAGGUGGGGAUGACGUCAAAUCAUCAUGCCCCUUAUGUCCUGGGCUUCACGCAUGCUACAAUGGCCAGUACAAAGGGCUGCGAUACCGCGAGGUGGAGCGAAUCCCAAAAAACUGGUCUCAGUUCGGAUUGGGGUCUGCAACUCGA
RNAcentral lists this ribosomal RNA (538 nucleotides) under uncultured bacterium. RNAcentral's name for it is "bacterial SSU rRNA". It matches the Rfam family "Bacterial small subunit ribosomal RNA", at positions 777 to 1315 of the family's 1533-position model. The record is from RNAcentral.